RNAcentral lists this ribosomal RNA (415 nucleotides) under Siminovitchia fortis. RNAcentral's name for it is "Bacillus fortis Bacterial large subunit ribosomal RNA". It matches the Rfam family "Bacterial large subunit ribosomal RNA", at positions 2518 to 2925 of the family's 2925-position model. The record is from Rfam by way of RNAcentral. Lineage: Bacteria; Bacillati; Bacillota; Bacilli; Caryophanales; Bacillaceae.
UUGGCACCUCGAUGUCGGCUCAUCGCAUCCUGGGGCUGUAGUCGGUCCCAAGGGUUGGGCUGUUCGCCCAUUAAAGCGGUACGCGAGCUGGGUUCAGAACGUCGUGAGACAGUUCGGUCCCUAUCCGUCGCGGGCGCAGGAAAUUUGAGAGGAGCUGUCCUUAGUACGAGAGGACCGGGAUGGACGCACCGCUGGUGUACCAGUUGUCUUGCCAAAGGCAUCGCUGGGUAGCUAUGUGCGGAAGGGAUAAGUGCUGAAAGCAUCUAAGCAUGAAGCCCCCCUCAAGAUGAGAUUUCCCAUUGCCUGGCUUGCCAGGCAGGUAAGAUCCCUGAAAGACGAUCAGGUAGAUAGGUCCGGUGUGGACGUGUGGCGACACAUGGAGCUGACGGAUACUAAUCGAUCGAGGACUUGAUCU